RNAcentral lists this transfer RNA (73 nucleotides) under Amoebidium parasiticum. RNAcentral's name for it is "tRNA-Gly". It matches the Rfam family "tRNA". Rfam says of the family: Transfer RNA (tRNA) molecules are approximately 80 nucleotides in length. Their secondary structure includes four short double-helical elements and three loops (D, anti-codon, and T loops). Further hydrogen bonds mediate the characteristic L-shaped molecular structure. tRNAs have two regions of fundamental functional importance: the anti-codon, which is responsible for specific mRNA codon recognition, and the 3' end, to which the tRNAs corresponding amino acid is attached (by aminoacyl-tRNA synthetases). tRNAs cope with the degeneracy of the genetic code in two manners: having more than one tRNA (with a specific anti-codon) for a particular amino acid; and 'wobble' base-pairing, i.e. permitting non-standard base-pairing at the 3rd anti-codon position. Lineage: Eukaryota; Ichthyosporea; Ichthyophonida; Amoebidiaceae. The record is from RNAcentral.
AUCUCUGUAGCUCAAUUGGUAGAGCAUUUCACUUCCAAUGAAAAUGUUAUGGGUUCAAGUCUCAUCAGAGAUA